CCUACGGGAGGCAGCAGUGGGGAAUAUUGCACAAUGGGGGAAACCCUGAUGCCGCGACGCCGCGUGAGUGAAGCAGUAUUUCGGUAUGUAAAGCUCUAUCAGCAGGGAAGAAAAUGACGGUACCUAAUUAAGAAGCCCCGGCUAACUACGUGCCAGCAGCCGCGGUAAUACGUAGGGGGCACGCGUUAACCGGAUUUACUGGGUGGAAAGGGAGCGUAGACGGCAGGACAAGUCUGGAGUGAAAUGCCGGGGCUUAACCACGGAACUGCUUUGGAAACUGUGCAGCUAGAGUGCAGGAGAGGGAAGUGGAAUUCCUAGUGUAGCGGUGAAAUGCGUAGAUAUUAGGAGGAACACCAGUGGCGAAGGCGGCUUACUGGACUGUAACUGACGUUGAGGUUCGAAAGCGUGGGGAGCAAACAGGAUUAGAUACCCUUGUAGUC
Molecule: ribosomal RNA, 440 nt
Filed under: uncultured bacterium
Lineage: Bacteria
Description: partial 16S ribosomal RNA
Rfam family: Bacterial small subunit ribosomal RNA
Source: RNAcentral